This 484-nucleotide ribosomal RNA is filed under the name uncultured bacterium. RNAcentral describes it as "partial 16S ribosomal RNA". It matches the Rfam family "Bacterial small subunit ribosomal RNA", at positions 30 to 507 of the family's 1533-position model. The record is from RNAcentral.
AUUGAACGCUGGCGGCAGGCCUAACACAUGCAAGUCGAGCGGAUGAAGGGAGCUUGCUCCUGGAUUCAGCGGCGGACGGGUGAGUAAUGCCUAGGAAUCUGCCUGGUAGUUGGGGAUAACGUCCGGAAACGGGCGCUAAUACCGCAUACGUCCUGAGGGAGAAAGUGGGGGAUCUUCGGACCUCACGCUAUCAGAUGAGCAUAGGUCGGAUUAGCUAGUUGGUGGGGUAAAGGCCUACCAAGGCGACGAUCCGUAACUGGUCGGAGAGGAUGAUCAGUCACACUGGAAGUGAGACACGGUCCAGACGCCUACGGGAGGCAGCAGUGGGGAAUAUUGGACAAUGGGCGAAAGCCUGAUCCAGCCAUGACGCGUGUGUGAAGAAGGUCUUCGGAUUGUAAAGCACUUUAAGUUGGGAGGAAGGGCAGUAAGUUAAUACCUUGCUGUUUUGACGUUACCAACAGAAUAAGCACCGGCUAACUUCGUG